CCUCUACUUUAACGUGGAGGUACUUGCUGGAUGCUUGAAAAAGUAAGUGCUUCCACGUUUUAGUUGCGG
Molecule: non-coding RNA, 69 nt
Organism: Anas platyrhynchos (mallard)
Lineage: Eukaryota; Metazoa; Chordata; Aves; Anseriformes; Anatidae
Source: Rfam